This 497-nucleotide ribosomal RNA is filed under the name uncultured bacterium. RNAcentral describes it as "partial 16S ribosomal RNA". It matches the Rfam family "Bacterial small subunit ribosomal RNA", at positions 28 to 507 of the family's 1533-position model. The record is from RNAcentral.
GAUGAACGCUGGCGGCGUGCCUAAUACAUGCAAGUCGAGCGAACAGACGAGGAGCUUGCUCCUCUGACGUUAGCGGCGGACGGGUGAGUAACACGUGGAUAACCUACCUAUAAGACUGGGAUAACUUCGGGAAACCGGAGCUAAUACCGGAUAAUAUAUUGAACCGCAUGGUUCAAUAGUGAAAGACGGUUUUGCUGUCACUUAUAGAUGGAUCCGCGCCUCAUUAGCUAGUUGGUAAGGUAACGGCUUACCAAGGCAACGAUGCGUAGCCGACCUGAGAGGGUGAUCGGCCACACUGGAACUGAGACACGGUCCAGACUCCUACGGGAGGCAGCAGUAGGGAAUCUUCCGCAAUGGGCGAAAGCCUGACGGAGCAACGCCGCGUGAGUGAUGAAGGUCUUCGGAUCGUAAAACUCUGUUAUUAGGGAAGAACAAAUGUGGAAGUAAAUAUGCACGUAUUGACGGUACCUAAUCAGAAAGCCACGGCUAACUACGUG